CUUCCCCGGAAGGCACUACUUCUUUAUUCCUCUUCUCUUCACAGCCCUUCCUUUUAAUUUGACCAUGGCUCUCUCUGGCAAAGCUGUGAUGCAGAUAAGAAAGAUGUGUGAGCGUAGACUAUCAGCUUGCCCAGAGGGGUCUGCUCUCACUUGUCAUGGGAUGGAGAGAAAGAGACCCCCAAAGACACCUGUCUGACACCUCUCAUCAGAGUACUAUCUCGGAUCCAGCAGAGGGCCACUGAGGGUCUGAAAUAUCACACCUUUAAGCUACUGUUUGCACUCAGCGCCUGUCAUAUCCACUUUAGAAAACAACAGCCCGGGGGUGUGCGAAAGAGGCAAGCCAUUGUAAUAAAAAAGUGCUGAAAAAAGCUAAAUAUGUUGUAUUAUGGUAUCAUAAUACAUUGUGUCAUCCACAAUGCAAUGUGAGGCAUUAAAGGAAUAGCUUCCCAUGCUUCAGCAUU
Molecule: non-coding RNA, 461 nt
Organism: Misgurnus anguillicaudatus (oriental weatherfish)
Lineage: Eukaryota; Metazoa; Chordata; Actinopteri; Cypriniformes; Cobitidae
Source: RefSeq, a predicted model, not a curated record